This is a regulatory RNA element of 111 nucleotides. It matches the Rfam family "TPP riboswitch aptamer (THI element)". From Rfam's summary of the family: Vitamin B(1) in its active form thiamin pyrophosphate (TPP) is an essential coenzyme that is synthesised by coupling of pyrimidine and thiazole moieties in bacteria. The previously detected thiamin-regulatory element, thi box was extended, resulting in a new, highly conserved RNA secondary structure, the THI element, which is widely distributed in eubacteria and also occurs in some archaea. Analysis of operon structures identified a large number of new candidate thiamin-regulated genes, mostly transporters, in various prokaryotic organisms. The record is from Rfam.
UUUCAACACUAGGGGAGCUAUGUAAAGUAGCUGAGAAGAGCGUAGGAAUCGUUUUGACCCUUCGUACCCGAACAGGAUAAUGCCUGCGUGGGAAAGUGUGGUCAAUAGGGA